Molecule: ribosomal RNA, 2947 nt
Filed under: Meyerozyma athensensis
Lineage: Eukaryota; Fungi; Ascomycota; Pichiomycetes; Serinales; Debaryomycetaceae
Description: bacterial LSU rRNA
Rfam family: Bacterial large subunit ribosomal RNA (bases 462-2905)
Source: RNAcentral
CAAUGACAAUAUUAGCAGUAUAUAGUAUAUUCUUAGGAUAUUAUAGAGAUAAUGUAACUUUCCAUUUAACAAUGGGAUUACCUCAUACUAAUACAUUUAUAGAAACUGAGUAUACAAUACCAGCUAUAUUUAAAUUAUUACCUUUAAUAUUAGGAUUAUCAUUAUCAUUACUAUUAGUAUACAUAUAUGAAUUCUCAUAUAAAAUAAAUAAAUCAAGUAUAUACAAUUACUUUAACCAACGUAUAUAUUAUGAUCAAUUAUUAAAUAACAUAGUAAUAAGAUCAGUAUUAAAUAUAGGAGGUAAAUUAAAUUAUUAUGUAGAUAAUGGUUUACUGAAAGUAUUAGGAAGUACAGGAGUAAGUAGAUUAUUAAUAAAUAUACCAGUAUUAUUAAUAAUAAAUUUAUUAUAUUUAUUCAUAGUUAAUUAUAUAAAAAUGUAUAAGGUGAUAUAUUGAAAAAAGGUAUAUGAAAAUAAUAUUAUUUUAAGGAUCUAAAACUAAUACUUAAGUUGAUAGAAAGGUUCAGAAAGGACCAAUCAGAUCAUGAAAAUGAGUAAUACAAAUCGAGUGGAAUGAAACAUCUGAGUAGCUCGAAAGUAACCAACAGGGGCUAUAUAAGUAACGGUGAGUGAAAGUAUAGUAGUCUAAAAGUAUCAUCAAGAGGUGAGAAUAAAGUAGUGUCUACUACUAAGACGAUAAAUAAGUAUUAAGUAAAAAGUACCGUGAGGGAAAAGGAGGAAAUAGAAUAAUAGAGAGCAGUCAUAGUAUGGCGUACCUCUUGUAUAAUGGGCCAGUGAGUUAUAUAUAUUAGCGUAAUAAUAUAAAUUAUAAAGAAAUUGAGUUAAUCAAUCUAUAGUUAAUAUAUAUAGGCCCGAAAGCAAACGAUCUACACAUGUCUAAGAUCUAUAAUAUAGAGUCUGAAUAGGUGGAUGUAGCAAUAUCCUCUAAAGAGGUGUGUGUAGGAGUGACAGACAAAUCUGGUUUGCCGAUAGCUGGUUUUCUGCGAAAUAUAUAUUAGUAUAGCCUUUACAAAAUUGUAAUAACUGGUACAGCACUUAAAUCAUUCCCUUUUAGGAGGGAUGAUAACCUCGAGAGAGGUCAUCAUUUUGGGGGAUUAUAAUAUAAUUUUAUCAAAAGAUUUUAACCUCGGAACAGUAAACCACAAAGUAAGGAGUCAGACUUAUUGCGAUAAGGUAGUAGGUCUAAAAGGAAACAACCUAGACUAUUAAAUAAAUGUCCCAAAUAAAUAUUAAGUGAACAAAAUCUAAUAAUUUUAGAUAGACAAUCAGUCAGCGGGUUUGACAAUAAUCAUCUGUUAAUGGACAUGUAACAAUGCACUGAUGUGACAUAAUUAUUAGAGAAAAUAUACGGGUCUAAAUAUUUAACAUUAUUAUAGAUAUAAAUAUAAAUAUAUUUAUAUGGUAGCAGAAUAUAUGAUAAAUAAGAUAUAAUCAUAAAGAGAUUGCUGGCUUGAGUAACGAUAGGUAGUAUAAGACUACCCUCCAAGGAACUAUUUAUAAUAGUUUAAGAAUCAUAAGGUUUUAAAAUAAACUAACGGUCCCUAAGAUAGGUAUAGAAAUAUAUAAUUGAUGGGAGAUAGAACAGGAAAAGUAAAAGAACCGUACUGUAAACCGACACAGGUAUGAUAAUAGGAGAAUGAGACAACUACUGUGAAUGAACUCGGCAAAUUAGCAUAAAGCUUUUAGUCGUGCGACUGUUUACCAAAAACAUAGCUUACUGCGUUCUAGAAAUAGUAAGUAUAGUAAGUGAUAUCUGCCCGGUGUAUGCCUAAUAUAUUUAAUAUAUAAUAAGUAUAUUAUUUGAAAAGGUAUGUUAACGGCGGUCUUAUUGUGAGGAUCCGAAGGUAGCGAAAUUCAUUGACGCAUAAUUGGUGUCCUGCAUGAAUGAAUACACGAUGCGACAACUGUAUCCAUAGUAGACUCAGUGAAAUAGCAUUCGCGGUGAAGAUGCCGUGUACCCGUAGUUUGACAAAAAGACCCUAUGCAGCUUUACUAUAUCUUUAUUUUGAUUUGACAACUUUAUAUUUCAGUAUAUUAGGUCAUUAUAUUUAUUUAUAUAAAUUAAUAAUAAAAAUGAGAUACCUAUAUUUAAAGUAAUAGAAUCUUAUCUUUUAAUUUAUAAUAAUAAUAUGUAUAUAUCUUAGUUAACAUAAUUAAGUUAUACAUAAUUAUAAAUUUAAUAAUAAGAGACAGAGUAAAGAGGUUAGUUUCGAUGGGGCGUCGACAUCAGCGAAAGCAUCUGAUGUGUCUAAGAAUAUAAAAUGUUUUAUUAAAUUUAUUAUAUAAUAGUAAGACAACGUACAAUAGUUCUAUAUGGUAAAUAGAGUAUAAAUAUAUAAUAAUAUAUAAAUAUAUGUAAGGAUAACAACAUAAUUGUGCGAUGAUAAUAACACUAACAAGUGGAAUUAGUACUUAAGUAGAGUGUAGUGAACAGGCAUAAUCAUUAGAUUUGGAUGUCGAUAACGGAUUAAAGUUACGCUAGGGAUAACAGGGUAAUACCGCGUGAGAGUUGAUAUCGUCAGCGGUGUUUGCCACCUCGAUGUCGUCUAGACUCGUCCUCCUGGUCGUAGCAACUAGGUAGGGUAGGACUGUUCGUCCUCUAAGGAGUCACUUGAGAUGGGUUAAUUACGACGUGAGUCAGUAAUGAUUUUAUCAUCUAUGGGUUUUUUUCUUAUUCGUUGCCUCGAGUGUACGAAAGGAUAGCGAGGUGCUUUCCUAUGGUUUUAUGUUUAUAUAUUAAACAUAUUAGCUAAGAAGGUUGUGGAUACAUAUUGAAUGCUUCUCAAAUAUUAAACCCUUCGAAUAAGUUUAAUCAUACUAGACUAGUAUGUUUAAGUUAUAAUUUAAUUAUUAAAAUUAUAAUCUUAUAAAUUAUUUCAUAUACCAUACAAUAUACUUAUUUUUAAAGGGAUCAUAGAUUAAUUGGUA